RNAcentral lists this ribosomal RNA (255 nucleotides) under uncultured bacterium. RNAcentral describes it as "partial 16S ribosomal RNA". It matches the Rfam family "Bacterial small subunit ribosomal RNA", at positions 524 to 776 of the family's 1533-position model. The record is from RNAcentral.
CACGUAGGGGGCAAGCGUUGUCCGGAUUAUUGGGCGUUAAAGAGCUCGUAGGCGGCUUAGUAAGUCGGGUGUGAAACCUCCAGGCUCAACCUGGAGACGCCACCCGAUACUGCUGUGGCUAGAGUCCGGUAGGGGAGCGUGGAAUUCCUGGUGUAGCGGUGAAAUGACGCAGAUAUCAGGAGGAACACCAGCGGCGAAGGCGGCGCUCUGGGCCGGUACUGACGCUGAGGAGCGAAAGCGUGGGGAGCAAACAGG